RNAcentral lists this microRNA precursor (102 nucleotides) under Marmota monax (woodchuck). Lineage: Eukaryota; Metazoa; Chordata; Mammalia; Rodentia; Sciuridae. The record is from RNAcentral.
AGUGGUAUUGCUGGAUCAUAUGCUAAUCCUGGUUAUCUUUUUUUAAGGUAUUGCCAUAUUUUUUUCAUAAUAACCAUACCAUUUUACAUUCCCACCAGCAAU